AUCACUUCUCGGCCUUUUGGCUAAGAUCAAGUGUAAAACAAUAUAAUUGUGUCUUAUCAGUU
This 62-nucleotide small nuclear RNA is filed under the name Cervus elaphus hippelaphus. Lineage: Eukaryota; Metazoa; Chordata; Mammalia; Artiodactyla; Cervidae. The record is from RNAcentral.